RNAcentral lists this ribosomal RNA (500 nucleotides) under uncultured bacterium. RNAcentral describes it as "partial 16S ribosomal RNA". It matches the Rfam family "Bacterial small subunit ribosomal RNA", at positions 28 to 523 of the family's 1533-position model. The record is from RNAcentral.
GAUGAACGCUGGCGGCAGGCCUAACACAUGCAAGUCGAGCGGCAGCGGGACCUUCGGGUUGCCGGCGAGCGGCGGACGGGUGAGUAAUGCCUAGGAAUCUGCCUGUUAGUGGGGGAUAACGCGGGGAAACUCGCGCUAAUACCGCAUACGUCCUACGGGAGAAAGCGGGGGCUCUUCGGACCUCGCGCUAACAGAUGAGCCUAGGUCGGGUUAGCUAGUUGGUGGGGUAAUGGCUCACCAAGGCGACGAUCCGUAACUGGUCUGAGAGGAUGAACAGGCACACUGGAACUGAGACACGGUCCAGACUCCUACGGGAGGCAGCAGUGGGGAAUAUUGGACAAUGGGCGAAAGCCUGAUCCAGCCAUGCCGCGUGUGUGAAGAAGGUCUUCGGAUUGUAAAGCACUUUAAGUCGGGAGGAAGGGCUGUAGGUUAAUACCCUGCGGCUUUGACGUUACCGACAGAAUAAGCACCGGCUAACUUCGUGCCAGCCGCCGCAGUAA